GGCGGCACGCCUAACACAUGCAAGUCGAACGAAGUAGCAAUACUUAGUGGCGAACGGGUGAGUAUAAUGUGGGUAUCUGCCUUUUGGUUUGGAAUAACACGGGGAAACUUGUGCUAAUACCGGAUAAGCCUUCACAGGGAAAGUUUUAACGCCAAAAGAUGAGCCCGCACUUGAUUAGCUAGUUGGUAAGGUAAUGGCUUACCAAGGCUACGAUCAAUAGCUGAUCUGAGAGGAUGAUCAGCCACAUUGGGACUGAGACACGGCCCAAACUCCUACGGGAGGCAGCAGUGGGGAAUCUUGCACAAUGGGGGAAACCCUGAUGCAGCGAUGCCGCGUGAGUGAAGAAGGCCUUUGGGUUGUAAAGCUCUUUCGUCGGGGAAGAAAAUGACUGUACCCGAAUAAGAAGGUCCGGCUAACUUCGUGCCAGCAGCCGCGGUAAUACGAAGGGACCUAGCGUAGUUCGGAAUUACUGGGCUUAAAGAGCUCGUAGGUGGUUAGAAAAGUUGGUGGUGAAAUCCCAAGGCUUAACCUUGGAACUGCCAUCAAAACUUUUUAACUAGAGUAUGAUAGAGGAAAGUGGAAUUUCUAGUGUAGAGGUGAAAUUCGUAGAUAUUAGAAAGAACACCAAUUGCGAAGGCAACUUUCUGGAUCAUUACUGACACUGAGGAGCGAAAGCAUGGGUAGCGAAGAGGAUUAGAUACCCUCGUAGUCCAUGCCGUAAACGAUGUGUGCUAGACGUUGGAAAUUUAGUUUUCAGUGUCGCAGCAAAAGCGUUAAGCACACCGCCUGGGGAGUACGACCGCAAGUCAACUCAAAUGGAAUGACGUA
This 828-nucleotide ribosomal RNA is filed under the name alpha proteobacterium SCGC AAA008-F09. RNAcentral describes it as "SSU rRNA". It matches the Rfam family "Bacterial small subunit ribosomal RNA", at positions 38 to 917 of the family's 1533-position model. Lineage: Bacteria; Pseudomonadati; Pseudomonadota; Alphaproteobacteria. The record is from RNAcentral.